GACGAACGCUGGCGGCGUGCUUAACACAUGCAAGUCGAACGGAAAGGCCCUGCUUUUGUGGGGUGCUCGAGUGGCGAACGGGUGAGUAACACGUGAGUAACCUGCCCUUGACUUUGGGAUAACUUCAGGAAACUGGGGCUAAUACCGGAUAGGAGCUCCUGCUGCAUGGUGGGGGUUGGAAAGUUUCGGCGGUUGGGGAUGGACUCGCGGCUUAUCAGCUUGUUGGUGGGGUAGUGGCUUACCAAGGCUUUGACGGGUAGCCGGCCUGAGAGGGUGACCGGCCACAUUGGGCCUGAGAUACGGACCAGACUCCUACGGGAGGCAGUGGUGGGGAAUAUUGCACAAUGGGCGGAAGCCUGAUGCAGCAACGCCGCGUGCGGGAUGACGGCCUUCGGGUUGUAAACCGCUUUCGCCUGUGACGAAGCGUGAGUGACGGUAAUGGGUAAAGAAGCACCGGCUAACUACGUG
This 468-nucleotide ribosomal RNA is filed under the name uncultured bacterium. RNAcentral describes it as "partial 16S ribosomal RNA". It matches the Rfam family "Bacterial small subunit ribosomal RNA", at positions 28 to 507 of the family's 1533-position model. The record is from RNAcentral.